Molecule: long non-coding RNA, 380 nt
Filed under: Homo sapiens (human)
Lineage: Eukaryota; Metazoa; Chordata; Mammalia; Primates; Hominidae
Description: non-protein coding LINC02323:11
Source: RNAcentral
GGUCGGGGCAGUGCUUUAACCGGAGACCAGGAGCCUGACUCUUCCAGGGCUCUGUGAGACAGCCUGGUGCCUGGCGGGGGUGACACAGCCCCACUGUCUGCCCCGCGUUUACAGCCAGGAACCACACCUGAGCCAUUUCCAAGGGUGACAUGUGUCACAGAACUGUGGGGAAGGGGCUAUCCAGAGAUUCCCAGUAGGAGACACGGGGAGACCUGCAGGAAUGAUCUCUCGCAGCACCCAAGUCUGCACCCUGCUUCACUCACUCAGCAAUCUGUCCAGGAGCUCCUUCAAUGUCAAGACAUCCAGAAAGAUCUGUCUUCCUCCUUUUCCAGGCCCCUGUGCAGGAACCCCCUGCACCUGGUCCCCCGUGAUGGGUGCUC